This is a non-coding RNA of Delphinapterus leucas (beluga whale), 466 nucleotides long. The record is from RefSeq and is a predicted model, not a curated record. NCBI's taxonomy places the organism in Eukaryota, Metazoa, Chordata, Mammalia, Artiodactyla, Monodontidae.
CAGCUAGAGAAGGCUCCUCGGAAACUUCAGUCGACUCUGGAGAGGGCGGGAGAGAUGCCCAGCCCCUUAAAGGAGAAUACACACAAUUUUGGAAAAGUGGAGAGGAAGUGGAGGAGGCUAAGAAAGAGAGCAUGAAACAUAUCUCAUGUGAAGGGUCCAGUGGAAAAGUAGGGAGAGAAAUUGAAACAUCUGCAGGAUACAGACACAGGUACAGGGAGAAAAGGCAGCUGCAAGAGUCCUGGUGCCCAAUCUGUCUCCCUCCUCUCCAUCUUCCCAAAGACACUGGAACUAGGAUGCGACUGUCUUUGCCUCUGAGCUGAGGGAAAGUCCCCGGGAGAUGGACAUCGGACAUCAUAUGUGGAAGAGAUCGCAGCUACAAAGCGGAUAGAAAGGCUAGGCUUGCCUCACCUGGCCAAUCGGACAUUGUCAUUGUCAUCUUUGCCCCACUCCCAGCCCUUUCCAGGGU